UCCGGUUGAUCCUGCCGGACCUGACUGCUAUCGGAUUGAUACUAAGCCAUGCGAGUCAUUGUAGCAAUACAAGGCAUACGGCUCAGUAACGCGUAGUCAACCUAACCUAUGGACGGGAAUAACCUCGGGAAACUGAGAAUAAUGCCCGAUAGAACACUAUACCUGGAAUGGUUUGUGUUCCAAAUGAUUUAUCGCCAUAGGAUGGGACUGCGGCCUAUCAGUUUGUUGGUGAGGUAAUGGCCCACCAAGACUAUUACAGGUACGGGCUCUGAGAGGAGUAGCCCGGAGAUGGGUACUGAGACACGGACCCAGGUCCUAUGGGGCGCAGCAGGCGAGAAAACUUUGCAAUGUGCGAAAGCACGACAAGGUUAAUCCGAGUGAUUUGUGCUAAACGAAUCUUUUGUUAGUCCUAGAAACACUAACGAAUAAGGGGUGGGCAAGUUCUGGUGUCAGCCGCCGCGGUAAAACCAGCACCUCAAGUGGUCAGGAUGAUUAUUGGGCCUAAAGCAUCCGUAGCCGGCUCUGUAAGUUUUCGGUUAAAUCUGUACGCUUAACGUACAGGCUGCCGGGAAUACUGCAGAGCUAGGGAGUGGGAGAGGUAGACGGUACUCGGUAGGAAGUGGUAAAAUGCUUUGAUCUAUCGAUGACCACCUGUGGCGAAGGCGGUCUACCAGAACACGUCCGACGGUGAGGGAUGAAAGCUGGGGGAGCAAACCGGAUUAGAUACCCGGGUAGUCCCAGCUGUAAACUAUGCAAACUCAGUGAUGCAUUGGCUUGUGGCCAAUGCAGUGCUGCAGGGAAGCCGUUAAGUUUGCCGCCUGGGAAGUACGUACGCAAGUAUGAAACUUAAAGGAAUUGGCGGGGGAGCACCACAGGGGGUGAAGCCUGCGGUUCAAUUGGAUUCAACGCCGGA
This 913-nucleotide ribosomal RNA is filed under the name uncultured crenarchaeote. RNAcentral describes it as "bacterial SSU rRNA". It matches the Rfam family "Archaeal small subunit ribosomal RNA", at positions 1 to 922 of the family's 1478-position model. Lineage: Archaea; Thermoproteati; Thermoproteota. The record is from RNAcentral.